AUUGAACGCUGGCGGCAGGCUUAACACAUGCAAGUCGAGCGGAGCGAGGGUGCUUGCACCUUAGCUUAGCGGCGGACGGGUGAGUAAUGCUUAGGAAUCUGCCUAUUAGUGGGGGACAACAUUCCGAAAGGAAUGCUAAUACCGCAUACGCCCUACGGGGGAAAGCAGGGGAUCUUCGGACCUUGCGCUAAUAGAUGAGCCUAAGUCGGAUUAGCUAGUUGGUGGGGUAAAGGCCUUCCAAGGCGACGAUCUGUAGCGGGUCUGAGAGGAUGAUCCGCCACACUGGGACUGGGACACGGCCCAGACUCCUACGGGAGGCAGCAGUGGGGAAUAUUGGACAAUGGGCGGAAGCCUGAUCCAGCCAUGCCGCGUGUGUGAAGAAGGCCUUUUGGUUGUAAAGCACUUUAAGCGAGGAGGAGGCUACUUAGAUUAAUACUCUGGGAUAGUGGACGUUACUCGCAGAAUAAGCACCGGCUAACUCUGUGCCAGCCGCCGCAGUAA
RNAcentral lists this ribosomal RNA (501 nucleotides) under uncultured bacterium. Its description in RNAcentral is "partial 16S ribosomal RNA". It matches the Rfam family "Bacterial small subunit ribosomal RNA", at positions 30 to 523 of the family's 1533-position model. The record is from RNAcentral.